GCGAAGGUGUGCUGUGAGGCAUGCUGGAGGUAUCAGAAGUGCGAAUGCUGACAUAAGUAACGAUAAAGCGGGUGAAAAGCCCGCUCGCCGGAAGACCAAGGGUUCCUGUCCAACGUUAAUCGGGGCAGGGUGAGUCGACCCCUAAGGCGAGGCCGAAAGGCGUAGUCGAUGGGAAACAGGUUAAUAUUCCUGUACUUGGUGUUACUGCGAAGGGGGGACGGAGAAGGCUAUGUUAGGCCGGGCGACGGUUGUCCCGGUUUAAGCAUGUAGGCUGGUUAUCCAGGCAAAUCCGGAUAAUCAAGGCUGAGGUGUGAUGACGAGGCACUACGGUGCUGAAGUAACAAAUGCCCUGCUUCCAGGAAAAGCCUCUAAGCAUCAGGUAACAUCAAUCGUACCCCAAACCGACACAGGUGGUCAGGUAGAGAAUACCAAGCGCUUGAGAGAACUCGGGUGAAGGAACUAGGCAAAAUGGUGCCGUAACUUCGG
RNAcentral lists this ribosomal RNA (486 nucleotides) under Klebsiella pneumoniae. RNAcentral describes it as "bacterial LSU rRNA". It matches the Rfam family "Bacterial large subunit ribosomal RNA", at positions 1250 to 1739 of the family's 2925-position model. The record is from RNAcentral. Lineage: Bacteria; Pseudomonadati; Pseudomonadota; Gammaproteobacteria; Enterobacterales; Enterobacteriaceae.